This 382-nucleotide ribosomal RNA is filed under the name uncultured Cosmocladium. RNAcentral's name for it is "SSU rRNA". It matches the Rfam family "Eukaryotic small subunit ribosomal RNA", at positions 585 to 972 of the family's 1831-position model. Lineage: Eukaryota; Viridiplantae; Streptophyta; Zygnematophyceae; Desmidiales; Desmidiaceae. The record is from RNAcentral.
CCAGCUCCAAUAGCGUAUAUUUAAGUUGUUGCAGUUAAAAAGCUCGUAGUUGGAUUUUGGGUUGGAGGAUUCGGUCUGCCGCGAGGUUUGAUACUGCUUCCUCCAUCCUUCUUGCCGGGGACGUGUCCUUGCCUUCACUGGCCGGGGCACGGAGUCGGCGAUGUUACUUUGAAAAAAUUAGAGUGUUCAACGCAGGCCUAUGCUCUGAAUACAUUAGCAUGGAAUAACGUGAUAGGACUCUGGUCCUAUUGUGUUGGUCUUCGGGACCGGAGUAAUGAUUAAUAGGGACAGUUGGGGGCAUUCGUAUUUCAUUGUCAGAGGUGAAAUUCUUGGAUUUAUGAAAGACGAACUACUGCGAAAGCAUUUGCCAAGGAUGUUUUCA